GAUGUCAUAAAUCCGGAGCCAGAACCCCCAUGGCCUGAAGCAGAUUGGCUUAGACCAGAUCUGGAUGACCUCAGAGCCACCAUCCAGCAGGUGUACAUGUGGCACAGCAUGACCAGGUCCAGAUACAUGGAGCUCCACACUCAUGUUCAUAACUAGUGUGCUAGUGUACACCAGUCAAACCAAGCAUGAGGAGCCAGAGUUUCUACAUCAAAAAAGGGGCAGACACCUGAAGGAGCUCAGUACAUUGGCCUGGAAUUAUACAAACAACUUAAGUAAUUUUUGAAUAAUUACUUGACAAGUCUUCUUAAGCAUGGAGAAGAUUUGAUGGACAAGAGUGUACUGAAAUUCUACACUCAACAAUGGGAAGAUUACUGAUUUUCAAGCAAAGUGCUGAAUGGAAUUUGUGCCUACCUCAGUAGACACUGGGUUCACCGUGAAUGUGACAAAGGACGAAAGGAAUAUGUGAAAUCUAUUCCCUUGCAUUGGUGACUUGGAGAGACCAUUUAGGCCACUGAAUAAACAGGUAAGAAAUUCUGUUUCAAAGCUGAUCAAAAAGGAAGGAAAUGGUGAAACCAUCAAUACAAAACUGUGAGUGGAGUUGUACAGUGUUACAUGGAAUUGGAGCUGAAGGAAGAUGAUGCAUUUGCAAAGGGCCCUACAUUAACAGUGUAUAAAGAAUCCUUUGAAUCUCUCUCUUUUUUUUUUCUGUCACAGAGAGAUUUUAUGUCACAGAGAGUACUGAAUUCUUGCAGCAGAACCCAGUUACUGAAUAUAUGAAUAAGGCAGAGGCUUGUGUGCUUCAGGAACAAUGAAGAGUUCAGGUUUACCUUCAUGAAGGCACACAAGAUGAAUUAGCAAGGAAAUGUGAGAAAGUCCUCAUUGAAAAACACUUGGAAAUUUUCCACACAGAACUUCAGAAUUUAUUGGAUGCUGACAAAAAUGAAGAUUUGGGACACAUGUAUAAUCUUGUAUCUAGAAUCCAGAAUGACCUAGGAGAAUUGAAAAAACUGCUGGAGACACAGAUUCAUAAUCAGGGUCUUUUAGCUAUUGAAAAAUGUGGAGAAGCUGCUUUAAAUGACCCCAAAAUGUAUGUACAGAAGGUGCUUGACCUUCAUAAAAAAUGCAUUGCCUUGGUAAUGUCUGCAUUUAACAAUGACACUGGCUUUGUGGCUGCUCUUGACAAGGUUGUGGUUGCUUCAUAAACAACAAUGCGGUUACCAAGAUGGCCUAUUUAUCCAGUAACUCCCAUGAGUCAUUGGCUCAAUACUAUGACUCGUUCUUGAAGAAAAGUUCCAAGAACACAGAUGAGGCAGAACUAGAAGAUACACUCAAUCAUAUAAUGGUUGUCUUCAAGUACAUAGAGGACAAAGAUGUGUUUCAGAAGUUCUAUGCAAAAAUGCUGGCCAAGAGGCUCAUCUACCAGAACAGUGAUGAUGCAAAUGAUGAUGCCAGUAACCAUGUCAAUUUUCAGCCACUGUGAUGGCUGGCAUAGAAAGCUGUGAAUUGCCGAUAACUACGUUCCAACUCUAAGGGAAGGCAGUGAGUGACAAUGCUGAAGCCAGCAUGUUCUCUAAGUUAAAGCAAGCUUGUGGUUUUGAGUAUACCUCUAAACUUCAGUGGAUGUUUCAAGACACUGGUGUGAGCAAAGAUCUGAAUGAGCAAUUCAAAAAUCACCUGACAAAUUCAGAACCCCUAGACUGGGAUUUCAGCAUUCAGGUGCUGAGCUCUGGGUCCUGGCCCUUUAAGCAGUCUUGUAUGUUUGCCUUCCCCUAGGGUUGGAAUGUAGUUAUCGGCAAUUCACAGCUUUCUAUGCCAGCUGUCACAGUGGCUGAAAAUUGACAUGGUUAUAUCAGUUGUCUAAAGGAGAAUUGGUAACUAACUGCUUUACAAACAGAUAUACUUUGCAGGCAUCCACAUUCCAGACGGCAAUCCUGCUUCAGUACAACACAGAAGAUGCCUACACUGUACAGCAGCUGACUGAUUGCACUCAAAUUAAAAUGGACAUUUUGGCAUAAGUCCUACAGAUUUUAUUAAAGUUGAAGUUAUUGGUCUUGGAAGAUGAAAAUGUAAAUGCUGAUGAGGUGGAAUUGAAGACAGAUACCUUAAUAAAAUUACAUCUUGGUUAUAAAAAUUAGAAAUUAAGGGUUAACAUCAAUGUGCCCAUGAAACUGAACAGAAGCAGGAACAAGAAAACACAAACAAAAAUAUUGAGGAAGACUGCAAACUACUGAUUCAGAUGGCCAUCAUGAGAAUCAUGAAGAUGAGGAAGGUUUUGAAACACCAGCAGUUAGUUGAUGAGGCCCUCACUCAGCUAUCCUCCAGGUUCAAAUCCCGGGUCCCUGAUCAAGAAAUGCAUUGACAUUCUAAUUGAGAAAGAAUAUUUGGAGCAAGUUGAUGGUGAAAAGCACACCUACAGUUACUUGGC
Molecule: long non-coding RNA, 2425 nt
Filed under: Homo sapiens (human)
Lineage: Eukaryota; Metazoa; Chordata; Mammalia; Primates; Hominidae
Description: non-protein coding lnc-FBN2-8:1
Source: RNAcentral